Molecule: RNA transcript, 4309 nt
Organism: Numida meleagris (helmeted guineafowl)
Lineage: Eukaryota; Metazoa; Chordata; Aves; Galliformes; Numididae
Gene: FAM78A
Gene name: family with sequence similarity 78 member A
Exons: 3
Source: RefSeq, a predicted model, not a curated record
GUGUUCGGUGCCGGGUUAUUUAUUUAUUUGUUUGUUUGUUUAUUUAUUUAUUUAUUUUCCGCGAUUAUUGUAAUUUCGUGCGAAAGGAAGUUGUGAACAACGGCAAGUCAGGAAGUGGAAAUCCACACCGGCUGUGACAAGCUGGGGCUCCAAACUAUUUCAUUAUUUAUAUAGAUGUGUCUAUCAACAUUCUGCUUUUCAUCCAAAGAAUAAAGGGAAACGCCGGCCGGCCCCACGCUUGACGGGGAAUGACAGACCUCAGCUGAGCAAAGGAAGGACUAAAUAUAUCAGCUCGCAGCAGCACCGGUAUUUAUUGAACUCGAGAGACUUUUUUUUUUUUUUUUUUUUUUUGUAACCUAAAGGCUGAGCGAGAGAUUUAAAGGGUCGUUAAAAGGGGAACAAUUGGAAAGGCCCUUUGGCUUCUGGAGCGCAGCGAAGCCCCGGGCAGGAGCGGCGCUUGUAGGACGGACGCCCACGUUAAGGCUCCACGCGAUGCAUUUUCUAUCCUAUGGAUACCAGUAUUGAGAUUACGCACCAAGAGAAGAUCUGUAAUUGAUCUCGCACCCGAUAAUUUCAAUGCCUAAUAUUCCCCAGGAUUGCUGGAGUACCCGAGGAGCUGCGUCGGACUGUAUUCGGGGUAUGCCAUGGGCUGUAUUCAGAGCAUCAGCUGCAAAUCCAAAGUUUUCCGGGAAAGUAUUUCGGUGAUUGAAGUCAAAGCCUCCAUCGAUCCCGUCCCCACCAGCAUCGACGAAUCCUCCAGCGUGGUCCUGCGCUACCGCACCCCGCACUUCCGCGCCUCCGCGCAGGUGUUGGUGCCCCCCAUCCCCAAGAAGGAGACGUGGAUCGUGGGCUGGAUCCAGGCGUGCAGCCACAUGGAAUUCUACAAUCACUACGGGGACCAGGGAAUGUCAAGCUGGGAGCUUCCAGAUCUACUGGAGGGUAAAAUCCAGGCCAUCAGCGACUCAGAUGGAGUGAACUAUCCCUGGUACGGAAACACGACAGAAACCUGCACCAUCGUGGGUCCCACAAAGAAGGAGUCCAAGUUCAACAUCAGCAUGAACGACAACUUCUACCCGAGCGUGACGUGGGCAGUGCCCGUCAGCGACAGCAACGUGGCCAAGCUGACGAGCAUCCACCGGGAUCAAAGCUUCACCACCUGGCUGGUCGCCACCAACACGGCCACCAACGAGAUGGUGACCUUGCAGACUAUCAAGUGGCGGAUGAGGCUGGGCAUCGAGGUGAACCCCAGCAGGCCCCUGGGGCAGCGUGCCAAGCUGCAGGAGCCCUCGGCUCAAGAGCAGCCCCAGGUCCUCAGCAAGAAUGAGCCAAUACCACCCAGUGCCCUUGUCAAACCCAAUGCCAACGAUGCUCAGGUACUCAUGUGGAGGCCGAAGGAUGGGCCACCGCUCGUGGUGAUACCUCCCAAGCACCGAUAGUAAAAACCUGGCGUCCCGGCACUGAAAGGGAGAAAACAAAGGAAAACACCGCAAAACAAUCACUUAGGUAUUAGAAUAAACACGUGUAAUCUGAGCGAAAUCAAAAUGCACUUUGUAGUCAUUCAACAAAUGCAACCAUUCUACCUUCUCCCAUUGGGACGGAUUUCACUGUGCUAAAGCUAAAGAGGAGACCUCUGAGCGGGGUCUGUCUCGUCACUGGAUUCCUAAGGGAAGAAAUGAACACUGAUGUCUCCCCCUAUUCCUUUUUUGUUCUCUUCCUACUUUCAGUUCCUGUUUGAACUUCAGUCUCAUUAGCUUGCCCAGAUUGCCCACAACAAUAAGAACAUUUUAUUUGGGAUUUUAAGAGCCUUUUUUUCGGUUUGUUCUCUUCUCCUUUUUGGUGGAGAACAGAAGUUCCGUGGAGCGAAAAGUCAACUAUUUAAAAUAAGGAAUUUUUUUUUUUUUUUAAAGCUCUAAGGUUCUGAGUUGCAAAUCCAAGUCAUGCGGCCUUAUGUAGACUUUGCUUUGCAUUGCCAAACUUUUGCCUUAAAGCUACGUCUGAAAAAACAACCACCACAACAAAAAAAAAAAACCACCAGGCAGAAUGUCCUUUCUACAGAGUUUGUGGGAAAAGAGAUGCGGCGUGAAGAUUGUCGGCGUGUCACAGGCGAAUGGAAAGGGCAUGAGAUCGGAAGGAGCACCAUCAAAAGCAAAAUCUUCCUGGUUUUAAAACACGGGACGAGGAAGCUCGGAAAUCAUCUCAGUUUCAAAGCAAUGCAAAUAAACUGCUGUAGGAUGUCUUCGGAGCGCGAGCUCCGCGGCCAUCUCCCUGCUUGGCAGGAGGAGUUGAGCUCACCCCACUUGCACUUCUCGGCGUUGUAACACGGGAUCAUCUCAUGGGCAAAGCCAGCGGCUGCAACCACGGCCCCGGGGGUCACCAAGCGGAGGGGACGUCCCGCUGCGUCCGGGGGCAUUGAGAUGCAUGGGUGUAAGCGAGGGCAGAUCUACCCACCACGCCUACCCAGCAAUAUCCACAGUUCAGGAACAGCCGUGUCUGAGACCAGCAGGCACUAUUCCUAGCAAACACUAGAGACAGAAGCUACGAAAAACUCUUCUUCCUAUGGUAACAAAUCACGUUGGGGUUCAUAGGUAAUUUUCUUCCCAAUGACCUCAUGGUCUACGCAACUUCCAGGAACGGGGUGCAGACAGGACCCCAUGUGAGACCGUUCCCAUUUGGUUAUGUAGCCAAGGAUCCUGCACAGGGUGGUGGGCAGGGAAGCCCAAUGUCUUGGGUGUAGAUCCUCCAGUCAAGAAAGCGUAUUUGGAGCAAGAGCCAGAACCUGGGUUUCAACAAGGACCUCAUCCAGAUGGCAUCAGAGAUAGCCAGAUGUGUUUCUGCAGAGGAAGGAGGUGCAGGAAGGCGGCUCGGGGAGCGGGGGGUGAACGACACAUGGUCUGUGGCAGCGCUUUCCGUGAGAUAACGUUUCUUCCUCUUAGUCACAACACGCCUCAAGAGCUGGGGCUGAGCAGAGCCCAGCUGCAGAUGCUCCCGGCCCUGCGGAGCUGGUCCGAGCAGGUCUCGGUCCCACGCUCGCUGCUCAGCAGGCUCUCCCCCGGGGGAGCAUCAUUCGCUGCUAUUGCCACCUCCUCCUCCCACACAACAAGAAUUUCUCCUUCCUCGCCUCUCCAAAGCCACGCCAUCUAUUUCGGCAACAGGUUCAGCAUCUCCCCUGCAUGGGGAAAUUUCACCCAGAAGAUGCGUCCCCCCCCAACCGCCUCAAACCAGCAAACACGGAUGCGGGGUCCCUGCAGCGUGCCCCCAACCCCCCCGGGCAGGGCACCCUCCUCCCUGCUGUGCUGCAGAGCUGCUCUCCCCCUCCGACAGGAGAUCCCCCAAGCGGGCAGCCUGGCAUCACAAGCAGCUUGCAAACAACUGGACUGGAUCAACCCCAAAUCCAUCAGCCAAAGGUUGCCUACAUCUAGGCUUUGGGACUACAAAGGACGAAGCUAGGGAGGCUUUGACUUGCACAGUCACUCUCUAUUAAACUCCAUUUUCUUACACGGAUUCAGAUCCCAACUACAGCUCCACCGGCACAGCCCUUUGGGACUUGGCUGUGUUUUCUCCUAGGCAAUACACGCAGAAGAGGACAAAAGUGGAGCUGUGGGCAAUAAGUCUCAUCGGAGAGACUUUGGCAUGAAGACCUCGGGCAAACUUCACUAUCUUCUUGCACGCACCUCGGCUGCUGCUCCGGGCAGAGCGGCGGGGGGGAGUAGAAGGGGUAUUUAUGUCUGGUAUUCACUUUGUCUCCAGGUGCUGAGUACUUACAGUUCUCACUGAUGUCAGCAUGGGUCGAACAAAUCGGGCCCAGUUGUCUUAAUUAGCUGCACAAAGGAAUUCCAAGGAAAGAUUUAUUCUCAGUCACCAAAAAUCACAUUCAGGGAACACCUAUGUCCUUUUCCACUUCGCUUCGUGUUGGACUCGGUCUCUCCCGGCGCACUGAGUACAUCUGUUUCCUCCUCCCCUACCUGGUGAACUGGAUGCACCCGUGCAAUUCCAUCCCGACCUCCUGGCUGAGUUGUCCCGUUGCACUGAACAGACCCAGCUGAGCAGUAAAUAUAAAAUCCAACCUUCACUUUGGGUCAGCUUUGCAUGGACCUCUCCCUCCCCAAAGAAUGCCUUUAUCCCGUGCCUCGUUUGGACCGUGCCCCUCCACCUCCAUCCGCACCACACCAUACCCAGCAUAGAAAGUGCUGCUGCCUCUGAGAUACUGUGAAAACAACCCCACGAUGUACCAAGUCUGGACACUCAUGGCGAUGUAAAAACAAAACCCUGCUUUUAUAACAGACGGAAAAAAUAAAGUGAAGUUUUCAAA